UGAUGACAAAGUGAUUACAUGAACUCAAUAUCAUGUUAAAAUAGGGUGAGUUUGAAAAAGCGUUACUUUGUUUCAACACAUAAAAAAAUUUGUAGGACGACAAACUUGAUUAGGUUUGUUGGAAUUUAAGCCUUGAGGUAAGAUCAUAUGCACUGUAAGAAUCUUUUUUUUUUUCUUUCUCUUUCUUCUUCUUUUACCCCUUUCUCCAUAUCCUUCCCUUUCUCCUUUUUUUUCUUAUUCUUCCACUUUCCCUUCAUCUUCUUCUUCUUCCUUCAUCAUUAUCCUCCUUUUCUUCUUUCCUUUUCUUUUUCAGAA
Molecule: long non-coding RNA, 315 nt
Filed under: Vigna radiata
Lineage: Eukaryota; Viridiplantae; Streptophyta; Magnoliopsida; Fabales; Fabaceae
Description: long non-coding RNA (VRAD_LNC008292)
Source: RNAcentral